UACGUAGGGUCCAAGCGUUAUCCGGAAUCACUGGGCGUAAAGCGUGCGUAGGCGGAUGUUUAAGUGCAAUGCGAAAUCCUGUGGCUCAACCAUAUGGACUGUAUUGCAUACUGGAUAUCUGGAGGAAUGCAGAGGCAAGUGGAAUUCCCACGUGUAGCAGUGAAAUGCGUAGAGAUGUGGAGGAACACCGAUGGCGAAGGCAGCCCCCCUGGGCUGAGAUUGACGCUCAGGCACGAAAGCGUGGGGAGCAAACAGGAUUGAG
Molecule: ribosomal RNA, 262 nt
Filed under: uncultured bacterium
Lineage: Bacteria
Description: partial 16S ribosomal RNA
Rfam family: Bacterial small subunit ribosomal RNA
Source: RNAcentral